CUUAAUAGUUUUUUCAUGUAUAUAUCAGCACAUUUCAAAAGUAACCCCUUUAAUUUGUUGCCAAAAAGGCUAUGAAAUUGAAGGUGGUGGCCAAGGGUUGCUCAUGUCCAUUCCAGAAGUUCUUUUUGUAUGAGAUAAGGCAAAUAAAAAGAUAAGUAGGAUUGACUAUGAACUUGUAGGGCAUGC
Pseudonaja textilis is the source of this 186-nucleotide non-coding RNA. The record is from RefSeq and is a predicted model, not a curated record. NCBI's taxonomy places the organism in Eukaryota, Metazoa, Chordata, Lepidosauria, Squamata, Elapidae.